This 380-nucleotide ribosomal RNA is filed under the name uncultured eukaryote. RNAcentral describes it as "partial 18S ribosomal RNA". It matches the Rfam family "Eukaryotic small subunit ribosomal RNA", at positions 592 to 976 of the family's 1831-position model. The record is from RNAcentral.
CAAUAGCGUAUAUUAAAGUUGUUGCGGUUAAAAAGCUCGUAGUUGGAUUUCUGCUGAGGACGAUCGGUCCGCCCACUGGGUGAGUAUCUGGCUCGGCCUUGGCAUCUUCUUGGAGAACGUUGCUGCACUUGACUGUGUGGUGCGGUAUCCAGGACUUUUACUUUGAGGAAAUUAGAGUGUUUCAAGCAGGCGCACGCCUUGAAUACAUUAGCAUGGAAUAAUAAGAUAGGACCUUAGUUCUAUUUUGUUGGUUUCUAGAGCUGAGGUAAUGAUUAAUAGGGAUAGUUGGGGGCAUUCGUAUUUAACCGUCAGAGGUGAAAUUCUUGGAUUUGUUAAAGACGGACUACUGCGAAAGCAUUUGCCAAGGAUGUUUUCAUUGA